Molecule: ribosomal RNA, 253 nt
Filed under: uncultured bacterium
Lineage: Bacteria
Description: partial 16S ribosomal RNA
Rfam family: Bacterial small subunit ribosomal RNA
Source: RNAcentral
UACGUAGGGAGCAAGCGUUGUCCGGAAUCAUUGGGCGUAAAGAGCGUGUAGGCGGCCUGAUAAGUCGGUUGUGAAAGUCAAGGGCUCAACCCUUGAAUGCCGACCGAUACUGUCAGGCUAGAGUCCGGAAGAGGCGAGUGGAAUUCCUGGUGUAGCGGUGAAAUGCGCAGAUAUCAGGAGGAACACCUAUGGCGAAGGCAGCUCGCUGGGACGGUACUGACGCUGAGACGCGAAAGCGUGGGGAGCGAACAGG